The submitters of this non-coding RNA (47 nucleotides) gave its source as unclassified sequences. The record is from Rfam.
CCGGCUCCGGUUCACGUCCAGCUCGCUGAAAGGACGACCCGGCGGCC